GUCUUUGUAGCUCAGUUGGUUAGAGCGCUGCACCGGAGUCGCAGGGUGGCAGGUUCGAUUCCUGCCAGGGACC
Molecule: transfer RNA, 73 nt
Filed under: Paramuricea clavata
Lineage: Eukaryota; Metazoa; Cnidaria; Anthozoa; Malacalcyonacea; Plexauridae
Rfam family: tRNA
About the family: Transfer RNA (tRNA) molecules are approximately 80 nucleotides in length. Their secondary structure includes four short double-helical elements and three loops (D, anti-codon, and T loops).
Source: Rfam by way of RNAcentral